GAGAAAGAGAGAGAGAGAGAGAGAGAGAGAGAGAGAGAGAGGGUGCAAGCUAAUAAAACUACGCGAGCUGUUUUGCCUUUCCAAUUCCGCGCGAGGCGAGUUAGAUUUUCCUUAAAUUUAAAUAUACCUAGGUAAAAUAGACGAAAAAAGAAAGAAAGAAAGAAAGAAAGAAGAAAAAGAAAAAGAAAAGAAACAAAUAAGAGAGAAAACACGCCGUAGACGCCGAGCGGCUAGUUCAAAAAGGCCAGUUCCGUGGGUAGUUCCGUCUCGUUUUCGAGCGCAGAAGCAAAACCGAAUAAUUCAAAUUGUAAUCCGAAAACGUGUAUACGGUUUACGUGGCGUUGGACGCGUAUACUUUAAAGUUUUUACGAAAGGCGGAUAGGAGGGAGGUAGGUGGAGGCCAAAGAGGCCGUAAAAAGCAACGAUCUGUCCCGUUGAAAUAUUCAACGCACGACGAAAUGAAAGGAAAAUGAAGACGGUAGAUGCGAGAAAGAAAGCGAGAGAGAGAGAGAGAGAGAGAGAGAGAGA
This is a long non-coding RNA of Vespula pensylvanica (western yellowjacket), 528 nucleotides long. RefSeq lists it as uncharacterized. The transcript has 2 exons. The record is from RefSeq and is a predicted model, not a curated record. Lineage: Eukaryota; Metazoa; Arthropoda; Insecta; Hymenoptera; Vespidae.